RNAcentral lists this ribosomal RNA (305 nucleotides) under uncultured bacterium. RNAcentral describes it as "bacterial SSU rRNA". It matches the Rfam family "Bacterial small subunit ribosomal RNA", at positions 335 to 637 of the family's 1533-position model. The record is from RNAcentral.
UUUCCUACGGGACGCAGCAGUGAGGAAUAUUGGUCAAUGGGCGGGAGCCUGAACCAGCCAAGUCGCGUGAGGGAAGACGGUCCUAUGGAUUGUAAACCUCUUUAGGCGGGGAGCAAUGCCGGGCACGUGUGCCCGGCGGGAGAGUACCCGCAGAAUAAGCAUCGGCUAACUCCGUGCCAGCCGCCGCGGUAAUACGGAGGAUGCGAGCGUUAUCCGGAUUUAUUGGGUUUACAGGGUGCGUAGGCGGAUUUUUAAGUCAGCGGUAAGAUGUCCGGGCUCAACCCGGGCCGGCCGUUGAAACUGGG